RNAcentral lists this ribosomal RNA (460 nucleotides) under uncultured bacterium. Its description in RNAcentral is "partial 16S ribosomal RNA". It matches the Rfam family "Bacterial small subunit ribosomal RNA", at positions 338 to 795 of the family's 1533-position model. The record is from RNAcentral.
CCUACGGGUGGCAGCAGUGAGGAAUAUUGGUCAAUGGACGAGAGUCUGAACCAGCCAAGUAGCGUGAAGGAUGACUGCCCUAUGGGUUGUAAACUUCUUUUAUAUGGGAAUAAAACGUUCCACGUGUGGGAUUUUGUAUGUACCAUAUGAAUAAGGAUCGGCUGACUCCGUGCCAGCAGCCGCGGUAAUACGGAGGAUCCGAGCGUUAUCCGGAUUUAUUGGGUUUAAAGGGAGCGUAGGUGGAUUGUUAAGUCAGUUGUGAAAGUUUGCGGCUCAACCGUAAAAUUGCAGUUGAAACUGGCAGUCUUGAGUACAGUAGAGGUGGGCGGAAUUCGUGGUGUAGCGGUGAAAUGCUUAGAUAUCACGAAGAACUCCGAUUGCGAAGGCAGUUCACUGGACUGCAACUGACACUGAGGCUCGAAAGUGUGGGUAUCAAACAGGAUUAGAUACCCCAGUAGUC